CGAGUGAUUUACAAGAAAAUGACGAUCUGUUCAACAAUAGCUGUAUGCUAAAGAGGGACAGAAGAGAGAAUCGAUGUAAGGAUGCACCAAAACAAAGAUAUAAUAGAAUGGACAAGAAGGAAGAGAAAGAGCACCAGUCUGUUUACAUAGCUCAUGAAAGUUAAAAUAGGCUCCUUAUCAAGAAGCAUGACAUACAAAUCGCAAGAUAACUAGUAUGUUGUGUAAGGAGGUUGACCAUGAUGAGUGUCUUCAUGUUAAAACCUUUUUUCCAUUCAGAAUUUUGUAACAAGUGGCAUGUAUGAUUAUC
This 307-nucleotide long non-coding RNA is filed under the name Elaeis guineensis (African oil palm). RNAcentral describes it as "long non-coding RNA (EGUI_LNC068130)". Lineage: Eukaryota; Viridiplantae; Streptophyta; Magnoliopsida; Arecales; Arecaceae. The record is from RNAcentral.